Homo sapiens (human) is the source of this 315-nucleotide long non-coding RNA. RefSeq lists it as uncharacterized. The transcript is spliced from 3 exons. The record is from RefSeq and is a predicted model, not a curated record. NCBI's taxonomy places the organism in Eukaryota, Metazoa, Chordata, Mammalia, Primates, Hominidae.
AUAAAUCUCUCCUACCUGGAAGAGAAGAAAGGAAGAAACAGGAAGGCGACCCGCUCCUGUGGCUCCCUCCAACCACAGCCCUAUUUUCUCCCUGUUUCGCUCAGAGAGAACCUGCCUGAGAAUGAAGCCAACACCGAGAACACGAGUCGAGAGAUGGAGGAUCCUGAUGACAACCUCUGAACUCCUGGAUCCAGCUGUGCCUAAAGUCAAACUCCUGGUGGCUUUCUGGCCUUUGCAUCCGCACGAGGCUUAACAUGUGGCAGAAGGAACUACCCAGAUGGAUUCUCGUGACUUCAGUUUAUGUGAUUUGAUUUC